This 516-nucleotide long non-coding RNA is filed under the name Zonotrichia albicollis (white-throated sparrow). Its description in RNAcentral is "lncRNA (ENSZALG00000003862.1)". Lineage: Eukaryota; Metazoa; Chordata; Aves; Passeriformes; Passerellidae. The record is from RNAcentral.
UAUACAGGGUCUAAAUACAGGGGCUAAACUUCCUGGCAUUGUCUCAUGGUAUUGAAAACAAAUACUGAGAAUCUGAAAGGAUGCAUCAGACUGCUACUGAGGGGAUGGAUUGCUGAUGUGAGAGAAACUGCUACAUAUGAAAGGGUGAUAUAUGGAAUGGAAAAUUUUCCCAGUGAAAGACAACAGCACUAGGUUUGAACCAGAGGAUUUACUAAUAUCAGCGUAACUUGGCUUGCUACUGAGGAAGGUUGUCCUGUCCAGAUGCUACUCUAGGAAUAUAUAAAUCAGUAACAUUCUGGGAUCUGAUUUGCAAAAUCACUCUCAAUGUAGACCUGACUCUGCCUCAGUGUACAUUGAAGCAGGUAAUUAUGAACGCCUCUGAUGAGGUGAUGAUAGCUCAUGAUGAUGUAUCAGCUCUUGUCAUAGCUUUCAGUUAACAGAAAAUACAAACUAAUAUAGAGUGUAUUAGUAAUCAAACAAAUGGAAGAUCACUUAUACAGCUUUAUUUUAUUGUGG